RNAcentral lists this long non-coding RNA (250 nucleotides) under Brassica rapa (field mustard). RNAcentral's name for it is "long non-coding RNA (BRAP_LNC004385)". Lineage: Eukaryota; Viridiplantae; Streptophyta; Magnoliopsida; Brassicales; Brassicaceae. The record is from RNAcentral.
CCCGAUCCCUUGUUCCUUAAUUUCUUCUACCCCGAUCUCUUUUUAACUAUCUCUAUGUUUCUUGUGUUUCUGAUUCACCGGAUGAUCCAUUAAGCUUACAACAUCCUCUAUUUAUACAAACUUUUAGAAGUUCCACAUUUCGUACGAAUGUCCCAUUUUCCUAUUUCACCUACAAAAUUAACUGACUGAUCUUUGUGCAAGCAUAUUGAAGUUAAGCUUUGAAGUGAGAUGUUGCAAAACAAAGUUAAAA